This 942-nucleotide ribosomal RNA is filed under the name uncultured archaeon. Its description in RNAcentral is "bacterial SSU rRNA". It matches the Rfam family "Archaeal small subunit ribosomal RNA", at positions 1 to 922 of the family's 1478-position model. The record is from RNAcentral.
UUCCGGUUGAUCCUGCCGGACCUUACUGCUAUCGGGGUGGGACUAAGACAUGCGAGUCGAGCGUCUCUAGCUAUGUUGAGACGCGGCAGACGGCUCAGUAACACGUGGCUAACCUACCCUCAGGACGAGGACAAACCCGGGAAACUGGGGCUAAUACUCGAUAGGUGAGUAUGUCUGGAAUGAUUUCUCACUCAAAGGGCUUUAGAAACAUGCUUCUAAAGUCGCCUGGGGAUGGGGCCGCGUCCGAUCAGGUUGUUGGUGAGGUAAUGGCUCACCAAGCCUAUAACCGGUACGGGCCGUGAGAGCGGUAGCCCGGAGAUGGGUACUGAGACAAGGACCCAGGCCCCACGGGGCGCAGCAGUCGCGAAAACUCCGCAAUGCACGAAAGUGUGACGGGGCUACCCCGAGUGCCAUCCGCUGAGGAUGGCUUUUCCUUGGUAUAACUAGCCGAGGGAAUAAGGAGAGGGCAAGACUGGUGUCAGCCGCCCCGGUAAUACCAGCUCUCCGAGUGGUAGGGAUGAUUAUUGGACUUAAAGCGUCCGUAGCCGGCUUAGCAAGUCUCCUGUUAAAUUCAGCGACCUAAUCGUUGAGCCGCGGGAGAUACUACUAGGCUAGGAGGCGGGAGAGGUCGACGGUACUUCUGGGGUAGGGGUGAAAUCCUAUAAUCCCGGGAGGACCACCAGUGGCGAAAGCUGUCGACUAGAACGCGCUCGACGGUGAGGGACGAAAGCUGGGGGAGCGAACCGGAUUAGAUACCCGGGUAGUCCCAGCCGUAAACGAUACGGGCUAGGUGUUGGGGUGGCUACGUGCCACUUCAGUGCCGCAGGGAAGCCAUUAAGCCCGCCGCCUGGGGAGUACGGCCGCAAGGUUGAAACUUAAAGGAAUUGGCGGGGGAGCACCACAAGGCGUGAAGCUUGCGGUUCAAUUGGAUUCAACGCCGGG